CCUACGGGAGGCAGCAGUGAGGAAUAUUGGUCAAUGGGGGAAACCCUGAUGCAGCGACGCCGCGUGAGUGAAGAAGUAAUUCGUUAUGUAAAGCUCUAUCAGCAGGGAAGAAAAUGACGGUACCUGAGUCAGAAGCCCUGGCUAACGACGUGCCAGCAACCGCGGUAAUACGGAGGGGUAAAGCGAUAUCCGGAUUUACUGGGUGUAAAGGGAGCGUAGACGGCAGGGCAAGUCUGGAGUGAAAGGCGGUGGCUCAACCCGCGGACUGCUCUGGAGACUGUACGGCUGGAGUGCAGUAGAGGUAGGUAGAAUUCCUGGUGUAGCGGUGAAAUGCGGAGAUAUUAGGAGGAACACCAGUGGCGAAGGCGGCUUACUGGAC
RNAcentral lists this ribosomal RNA (379 nucleotides) under uncultured bacterium. RNAcentral's name for it is "partial 16S ribosomal RNA". It matches the Rfam family "Bacterial small subunit ribosomal RNA", at positions 338 to 734 of the family's 1533-position model. The record is from RNAcentral.